RNAcentral lists this ribosomal RNA (501 nucleotides) under uncultured bacterium. Its description in RNAcentral is "partial 16S ribosomal RNA". It matches the Rfam family "Bacterial small subunit ribosomal RNA", at positions 30 to 523 of the family's 1533-position model. The record is from RNAcentral.
AUUGAACGCUGGCGGCAGGCUUAACACAUGCAAGUCGAGCGGAGAGAGGUAGCUUGCUACUGAUCUUAGCGGCGGACGGGUGAGUAAUGCUUAGGAAUCUGCCUAUUAGUGGGGGACAACAUUUCGAAAGGAAUGCUAAUACCGCAUACGUCCUACGGGAGAAAGCAGGGGAUCUUCGGGCCUUGCGCUAAUAGAUGAGCCUAAGUCGGAUUAGCUAGUUGGCGGGGUAAAGGCCUACCAAGGCGACGAUCUGUAGCGGGUCUGAGAGGAUGAUCCGCCACACUGGGACUGAGACACGGCCCAGACUCCUACGGGAGGCAGCAGUGGGGAAUAUUGGACAAUGGGCGGAAGCCUGAUCCAGCCAUGCCGCGUGUGUGAAGAAGGCCUUAUGGUUGUAAAGCACUUUAAGCGAGGAGGAGGCUACUUUAGUUAAUACCUAGAGAUAGUGGACGUUACUCGCAGAAUAAGCACCGGCUAACUCUGUGCCAGCAGCCGCCGUAA